This 495-nucleotide ribosomal RNA is filed under the name uncultured bacterium. RNAcentral describes it as "partial 16S ribosomal RNA". It matches the Rfam family "Bacterial small subunit ribosomal RNA", at positions 28 to 507 of the family's 1533-position model. The record is from RNAcentral.
GACGAACGCUGGCGGCGUGCCUAAUACAUGCAAGUAGAACGCUGAAGGAGGAGCUUGCUUCUCUGGAUGAGUUGCGAACGGGUGAGUAACGCGUAGGUAACCUGCCUGGUAGCGGGGGAUAACUAUUGGAAACGAUAGCUAAUACCGCAUAAGAGUAGAUGUUGCAUGACAUUUGCUUAAAAGGUGCAAUUGCAUCACUACCAGAUGGACCUGCGUUGUAUUAGCUAGUUGGUGGGGUAACGGCUUACCAAGGCGACGAUACAUAGCCGACCUGAGAGGGUGAUCGGCCACACUGGGACUGAGACACGGCCCAGACUCCUACGGGAGGCAGCAGUAGGGAAUCUUCGGCAAUGGACGGAAGUCUGACCGAGCAACGCCGCGUGAGUGAAGAAGGGUUUCGGAUCGUAAAGCUCUGUUGUAAGAGAAGAACGAGUGUGAGAGUGGAAAGUUCACACUGUGACGGUAUCUUAACAGAAAGGGACGGCUAACUACGUG